UUUUUUUGUAUUUUAUUUUUUGUCGAGUCUUCGGAGGAAGAAGAGGAGGAGGAGGAGGAGAAGAAAAAAGAAUUUUUACGAGCGCUAAAAACAAAGUCGAGAAAUAACUAUGAAUGUUAAAAGUCAAACAUCGAAUAAAGAAGAAAAUGGGAAAAAAUGUUACAUUUUACAACGUGUUUUUCUAACGAGUGAAUUUUUAUAUACAAGAUCUAUUUAAAGACUUUACGACUCGUGUACCGUGAUAGUUACAGUAAUAUAAGACGGAUUUUUUUAUUUUUUACUUUUUUUUUUUUGCAUUAAUUUACGAUUGCAUCUGAUGGUUGAAGGAUUACACCGUCUGCUCGCUCUCUUUCUCCAAUGCGAUUUUUUAUCGAUCGGCAGCAAAACUCGCGAGUUAUUGAAGAUGCUAAUAAGUAUAAAACCACUUGGAAAAUUAAAGCUACUAAUGAUGUAGUGGAUGAAAAGCGUCCCUUUUGGUUUACAUGGAAUCGUUGAAGAAAGAAAUUACAGCAAAUGUUAGUAUUUCUUGUUGUCUGUCCCACUUCCAGUUGUCAUUACUAACUCUGCUGAGGAUAUCGAUCAGCGAGUGGCCGACCUGUUGUUGGUCAGUAAUGUUUGUUUGGUCACUUCCUUUCCCCUCGUAUUGUUUUAACGUACAAGAAGUCUUUAUGUUCAUGUUUGGAAGCAUUCAAUUACUGACUUUGCUCGGUAGUUUUGUUCUUUCUCAUUAAUCAUUGCUUAUGUCCGGGUGGAGAUGAAAGACCAAAAUCUAAUUCCUCUAAUAUAUUUUAGAGCGGAUCUAUUGCAGUUGAUAGCGUUUUUAGAGAUAAUUACAGCCCUAUUUUAGAGGUCACGUACGAUUAAUGGAUAAACCAAAUUUGAUAAUUGAGAAAGAGUUUUAAGCUUACCAUAUUAUUAUAAAGCUAUAAGGACGAUUAAUAAAUUUUACAUCAAUUUGUUGGUGGUGCGUUUAACCUUCAAUGAAUUAUCGCUCC
Molecule: long non-coding RNA, 995 nt
Filed under: Androctonus crassicauda
Lineage: Eukaryota; Metazoa; Arthropoda; Arachnida; Scorpiones; Buthidae
Source: RNAcentral